This is a long non-coding RNA of Vicia villosa (hairy vetch), 1153 nucleotides long. RefSeq lists it as uncharacterized. The transcript is spliced from 5 exons. NCBI's taxonomy places the organism in Eukaryota, Viridiplantae, Streptophyta, Magnoliopsida, Fabales, Fabaceae. The record is from RefSeq and is a predicted model, not a curated record.
CAAGACAUUAGAAGCUGAGGCAACUCAUGGAACUAUAACUCGGCAUUUCUGGUUUCAUCAAAACGGACAAUCAUCCAGUACAAACAGUAUUGCUUCCAUAUUUGCAUGUACACGAGGACUGAAACAUAGAGCCAAGCAGGUUAAUAAUGAAAAAUUACUGGAUUUUGCUAAGAAGUUGGAGACUGCAUGUUUGAGACAGUAGAGUCGGGAAAGAUGACCAAAGAUCUCGCCCUUCUGAUUCACGGGCCUAAGUGAAACUCCUUUAGUCUAUUAUUACUCAUUUGAAUAUUCUGGCAUUGCAAUCAUCUUAUGAACUUUGUAUUUCAAGUUUUAAUUUAAAUGUGUCAUUCUUGUGUUCUGCUUAGCCGACCCCAGGGCCUUAUUGCAGAAGAUGUAAAGUUUGUUGUAGCUGGUGCAAACCUUAUGCUUAUUACACGUGACAUUGAGAAGACAUCGAAAACUCUUGUAGCUGAGCUUAAGAAGAUGUCACAAUAGGGUUUAAGGAAAGCUUUUCAUUAUCAUGAUUUACAUCGAAAGUUAGAUGGUGCUUUUACAUUUACAAGGUUUACCGAGAAGCAUCGUCGGCUUGCUAAUGCUUUCAUUAGACAGGAUCCGUGUUUGUUGGAGAAAUCUAUGUCCAUGAUGCUAAAGGCCGUGACAGCCAGGACAUUUAUUCCUCUGUAGGUUUGGAAAUUGAACUCAUGCGACGGUAACGGCAAGUACAAAGGUAACAGCAAGGUGACAUGGUGACAUCAUCCAUGUUAUUGACAUUGGUACAAAACAGGUCGUUUUAUUGGGAGGAGCUGCAUGUUUGUCAGGUUUAGCAGGUGACACUAUCUGGGCUGCUGAAUUUUGUUGAUGGGCUAUGGUCAAUUUGUGGAGAUGAGAGGGUUAGUGUUCACAAUAAACCAUAAAGAAAUGCUUGAUUCAGCAUUGUUGCGUCCGGGUCGAAUGGAUGUUUAUACGCACAUGUCCUAUUGUACUCCCUAUGGUUUUAGAAUGUGCCACUUAUUCAACAGGUUGCUUAACAAGAUGUUAUGAUUAUGAUCCUAAAAUGGUUAUUGGCGAUAACACUGGAAAAUGCACUGGUUUAGGUUGUUGCCAAGUGGAUAUUCCUCCACUUAUGAGAAAUAUCACUAUACAAUCAUCUCAA